Molecule: transfer RNA, 66 nt
Filed under: Empoascanara falcata
Lineage: Eukaryota; Metazoa; Arthropoda; Insecta; Hemiptera; Cicadellidae
Also listed under: 1 other name
Description: tRNA-Leu
Source: RNAcentral
GCUAAGUUGGCAGAAUUUAUGUGCUAAAUUUAGAAUUUAGAAAAAUGAUUUUUAUCAUACUUAGUA